This 278-nucleotide non-coding RNA is filed under the name Bacillus sp. (in: firmicutes). Its description in RNAcentral is "Bacillus sp. T-box sequence". It matches the Rfam family "T-box leader". Rfam says of the family: Uncharged tRNA acts as the effector for transcription antitermination of genes in the T-box leader family. T-boxes are found upstream of many aminoacyl-tRNA synthetase genes and some amino acid biosynthetic genes usually in Gram-positive bacteria. The record is from RNAcentral. Lineage: Bacteria; Bacillati; Bacillota; Bacilli; Caryophanales; Bacillaceae.
UCAAUGGCGAUGACGGGGAUCAGUAAAACCGCCCUUCAGGUACAGAGAGCGAAAUUCAGCGGCUGAGAGAUUUCGCCCGUGAACCGGUUUGAACCCACCCCCGAGCGGCCAGGGAUGACCUGGACAGGUUUCUUUCACCUGUUAUCAAAGAAAGAGAGCCGGACGGUUUGGCGGCUGAACACGGGAGCGGAACGCCUCGUUCUUCCCCUGGUUUGGGACGCCUGAAUACCGUCAAAUAAGGUGGUACCGCGGAAGAGAGAUACCCUUUCGUCCUUAUG